RNAcentral lists this unclassified non-coding RNA (919 nucleotides) under Zea mays. RNAcentral describes it as "misc RNA Zm00001eb376830". The record is from RNAcentral. Lineage: Eukaryota; Viridiplantae; Streptophyta; Magnoliopsida; Poales; Poaceae.
CUGACUCUGAAAUCGAGAAAUUUAGAUUUAUGCCAUUAUAAAAACUAGGUUUUGCUCGUCCCUAAGAUUUUUCUAGCUGUUUACAUUCAGAUUCAGGUCAUGUUGCCAAAGUACCCCUGUCAUCCUUGGCCUUUGGUUAUGUACAUGAAAGGAUCAUUAUUAUAACUCUACUCUCAGAACCUUUGCUGCCCCAACGCCAUUUUUUUGUACCAGGAAGAGGAAACCCUUCGCCCUUACACUUGCACCCUGCAUUUCUUCGCACUCUACAACACUCCAUUUUUACAUAACGCCCGAGCUAGUGGUGAUUUACAGAGAUACCAUGCUGGCCACUGCAUGUUGCUCGCUUAUCAGCAUUCAGCAGCAGGGGAAGCUUGAGAACAAGCCGCCCUUUCGUCCUGCUCCCGGAACCGGAGUCGCCUCCGGGUUGCUGCUCGUCUGCGGCUGCGCCUCUGCCGUCUGCCCUCGCUUCAGCUUCUGCCGGUGUUGGCACGGCCUUGUUGGCCGCCUCCGCCGAUGCCGCUGCUGGCUCCGGCUGGAGGUCCUGCUGAGACGGCUCCUUGGAGUAGUUCAUCUUGUCCUCUACCAAGCUGCGCCGCAUUAAAGUCGGUCGAGAAGAUUCAGCUUUUAAACAACAAGAACGUAUCGUAUGGAACGAGAUGGUGGCGGCGGCGGUACGCAGCGCGUAGUACUUUGGGAAGGCGAAGGAGUAGCUUCCCACUUUCCCUUCAUGGCGCCCUCGUGGAGCUCCGGGAUGCUCUCGAAGGGCGGCGAGAUGACAGGGGCGUCCUUGGCCUUUGCGUCGGCGUCGGUGUUGGCGCCGGCUGCCAGAAUGGCUGCACCGACGGCGAUCGGCGACUGCCGGCGAACUCGCUCUCUCUUUCUCUCCUCAGGUACGCGAAUACUGAAAAAGCAGAAAGCG